Molecule: ribosomal RNA, 342 nt
Filed under: Capnocytophaga granulosa
Lineage: Bacteria; Pseudomonadati; Bacteroidota; Flavobacteriia; Flavobacteriales; Flavobacteriaceae
Description: bacterial SSU rRNA
Rfam family: Bacterial small subunit ribosomal RNA
Source: RNAcentral
CGAAGAAAUUUGGAUUAAUUACCCCAUAAUAUUAUUGGAUGGCAUCAUUUGAUAAUUAAAGCUACGACGGUGAAAGAUGGGCAUGCGUCCUAUUAGCUAGUUGGAGUGGUAACGGCACCCCAAGGCUACGAUAGGUAGGGGUCCUGAGAGGGAGAUCCCCCACACUGGUACUGAGACAGGGACCAGACUUCUACGGGAGGCAGCAGUGAGGAAUAUUGGUCAAUGGUCGGAAGACUGAACCAGCCAUGCCGCGUGCAGGAAGAAUGCCUUAUGGGUUGUAAACUGCUUUUAUAUGGGAAGAAUAAGGCGUACGUGUACGUUGAUGACGUACCAUAUGAAUAA